GCCGCGUGAGUGAUGAAGGUUUUCGGAUCGUAAAACUCUGUUGUUAGGGAAGAACAAGUAUCGGAGUAACUGCCGGUACCUUGACGGUACCUAACCAGAAAGCCACGGCUAACUACGUGCCAGCAGCCGCGGUAAUACGUAGGUGGCAAGCGUUGUCCGGAAUUAUUGGGCGUAAAGCGCGCGCAGGCGGUCCUUUAAGUCUGAUGUGAAAGCCCACGGCUCAACCGUGGAGGGUCAUUGGAAACUGGGGGACUUGAGUGCAGAAGAGGAGAGUGGAAUUCCACGUGUAGCGGUGAAAUGCGUAGAGAUGUGGAGGAACACCAGUGGCGAAGGCGACUCUCUGGUCUGUAACUGACGCUGAGGCGCGAAAGCGUGGGGAGCGAACAGGAUUAGAUACCCUGGUAGUCCACGCCGUAAACGAUGAGUGCUAAGUGUUAGAGGGUUUCCGCCCUUUAGUGCUGCAGCAAACGCAUUAAGCACUCCGCCUGGGGAGUACGGCCGCAAGGCUGAAACUCAAAGGAAUUGACGGGGGCCCGCACAAGCGGUGGAGCAUGUGGUUUAAUUCGAAGCAACGCGAAGAACCUUACCAGGUCUUGACAUCCUCUGACAACCCUAGAGAUAGGGCGUUCCCCUUCGGGGGACAGAGUGACAGGUGGUGCAUGGUUGUCGUCAGCUCGUGUCGUGAGAUGUUGGGUUAAGUCCCGCAACGAGCGCAACCCUUG
Molecule: ribosomal RNA, 722 nt
Filed under: uncultured Bacillus sp.
Lineage: Bacteria; Bacillati; Bacillota; Bacilli; Caryophanales; Bacillaceae
Description: bacterial SSU rRNA
Rfam family: Bacterial small subunit ribosomal RNA
Source: RNAcentral